UUGCUAUUGGGAUUCGAUUUAGCCAUGCUAGUCGUACGAGUUCAUACUCGUGGCGAAUAGCUCAGUAACACGUGGCCAAACUACCCUUCGGACCACAAUACCCUCGGGAAACUGAGGCUAAUAGUGUACACCACAGUCCACCUGGAAUGAGGACUGUGCCAAACGCUCCGGCGCCGAAGGAUGUGGCUGCGGCCGAUUAGGUAGACGGUGGGGUAACGGCCCACCGUGCCAAUAAUCGGUACGGGUCAUGAGAGUGAGAACCCGGAGACGGAAUCUGAGACAAGAUUCCGGGCCCUACGGGGCGCAGCAGGCGCGAAACCUUUACACUGCACGACAGUGCGAUAAGGGAAUCCCAAGUGCACAGGCAUAGAGCCUGUGCUUUUGUACACCCUAGGGCGGUGUACGAAUAAGGGCUGGGCAAGACCGGUGCCAGCCGCCGCGGUAAUACCGGCAGCCCAAGUGAUGGCCGAUCUUAUUGGGCCUAAAGCGUCCGUAGCUGGCCGCACAAGUCCAUCGGGAAAUCCACCUGCCCAACAGGUGGACGCCCGGUGGAAACUGUGUGGCUUGGGACCGGAAGGCGCGACGGGUACGUCCGGGGUAGGAGUGAAAUCCCGUAAUCCUGGACGGACCGCCGAUGGCGAAAGCACGUCGCGAAAACGGAUCCGACAGUGAGGGACGAAAGCCAGGGUCUCGAACCGGAUUAGAUACCCGGGUAGUCCUGGCCGUAAACAAUGUCUGU
RNAcentral lists this ribosomal RNA (739 nucleotides) under uncultured archaeon. RNAcentral describes it as "bacterial SSU rRNA". It matches the Rfam family "Archaeal small subunit ribosomal RNA", at positions 27 to 767 of the family's 1478-position model. The record is from RNAcentral.